This is a non-coding RNA of Shewanella algae, 73 nucleotides long. The record is from Rfam. NCBI's taxonomy places the organism in Bacteria, Pseudomonadati, Pseudomonadota, Gammaproteobacteria, Alteromonadales, Shewanellaceae.
GUGAUUGUAGCUCAGUUGGUAGAGCCCCGGAUUGUGAUUCCGGUUGUCGUGGGUUCAAGUCCCAUCAGUCACC